Long non-coding RNA from Oryctolagus cuniculus (rabbit), 1883 nucleotides. The record is from Ensembl. Lineage: Eukaryota; Metazoa; Chordata; Mammalia; Lagomorpha; Leporidae.
UCCUCUGGGUCUCCCACACAGGGGUCGGGGGCCAAGGCCUUGGGCCAUCUUCUACUGCCUUCCCAGGCCACAGCAGAGAGCUGGAUCGGAAGUGGAGCAGCCGGGACUCGAACCGGCUCCUAUAAGGCACGGCUCCACAAUGCCAGCCACUUUCUGUUAAGCCCCGACUUGGAGUGGCCGUGGGGGCUCGGUGGGUUAGGCUGCUGCGUGGGCGUCCAGCAUUCCGUUACGGGAACGUGGGUUUGAGUCCCAGCUGCUCCGCCUCCCACCCAGCUCCCUGCUAGUGGGCCUGGGAGAAAGGCAGAUGAUGGCCAAGUCCUUGGGCCCCUGACCCCCGUGUGGGAGACCUGGAUGGUGUUCCCGGCCUUGGCCCAGCCCUUUGUGGCCAUUUGGGGAGCCAGCAGAUGCAAGAUCUCCCUCUCUCGUCUCCGUCUCUGUCACUCUGCCUUUCAGAGAAAGAAAGACAUGUUGAAAGCCCUGCGUCGUGGAGGUGGAAGCGUGCAGUCUGUCUGCUGACGUCACUGGGCAGGUGCCCCAGGCCCGUCCAUAGGGGGGCCGGUGUCUGCGUCUCCCUCCUUUCAUAGCGGAAUAGGGCUAUGUCGCACUGGACGGCUCCGUGACCUCUCCAUUGGCAGAAGGAGGCCCUCGGCUUUCUCCUUACCUCACGGCUGCAGCAGCACCCUUAGGGAAUCUUGGUUCGUUGGACACAUGCUGGGGGCCCGGGUCUGAACCCACAGCCCGGGAGGAGGGGCCCCCUGCCCCAGAACAGACCUGGGGGAAGGGAGGAACAGGAAAUGACGAAACAGGCGGCACUGUGGCCAGGGGGAAGUGUUUGGAAGGAAAACCCAGCGAGCCGGGGAAGGGAGUGUUAGGUUUGGGGGGAGCUGGUCCUAAGGGGAAAACCCAGGACGGGGGGCGGGGACCCUGCUUGGGAGAGGCUGCGUGUUCUGAGGGGAGAGGGUCGUAGGCAGUUUCACGAAGUGGCCACAGCGGGGCUGCAGGCGUCCGAGCGGCUCUGGACCCCACCUGCUGCGGCGCCCCCGGAGGCCGCCGUGCACCCGGUCCCUCUCCCUAGUGGUCUCCUUUUUCCUAUAUACAUUGUUAGGCAAGUGCUCUCGAUCUGCUGGGGGAAAUCUGCCUUCUGAAACCGGUAAAAGAGGAACCCUCACUCGGCUACUCGCCGUCUCUGCCCCAAGUCUGCCGCCGGCCGACAGGUGCACCGGCCCCUGCAACACUGACAGGGGCGGAGUUUCCGGAAGAGCCGGGGUCCUGGUGUCUGACCCCACUGGGUCACUGGAGCUCCUCUCAGCGGCCACCGCACAGCCUGGCAGAGGACGCACUUCCCACAGAAGCCUGGAGGGAGUCUCCCUCGCACUGUCCUGGCUGUUGACAGUCCUCCGGAAGCUGCUAAUCUGGGGGCGGCCCCGGGUCAUUCUAGGAGGGCAAUGAUGAUAACAGGUCUCCUACAGCACCAGGGACACAGUAACACAGAAAGCAAAACGUGCAGCUAAAUGCAACAGCCCUCUCUCUCCCUCCAGUCCUUCACAGGAUGUUUGGUGGCUGAAGAAAAGUUACACCACAUCUGACCUGGCUCUAAAUGUAUCUAGAAAAAUUUAUGGAAACUGUCCAGUAAGUGUGUUGCAGAAAGCAAUGGAGACUGCCGUAGCUUGGCAGUUAGGGUGCUCUUCUCCCAUGAUCGAACAGGGAUGCAGGCACUGCAGGCGGCGGCUUUAACCACUACGCCACAGCGCCGGCCCCUGGGCAGUUGAUUUGUAUAUUUGGGCGGAGCUGGGGAGCCCACAUCUGCUUUGGGACUUUCCCACGCUCUGGGACGACCCCCACAAAAUGGAGCAGGGUAACAGGAUGCAAAGGGAGCCAAGGUU